UGGUGUCCCCAAGACAAGAGAAAUUUACGAGCAAGCCAUUGAGGCUCGGCUUCCCGACGAACAUGUGAAAACAAUGUGUUUGAAGUAUCAAGUAUGCCAAGUUGGAAAAGAAUUUGUGAGAAAUUGAUCGUGGGUGUGCCAUAUAUAUAUUUCUCCCGAAUUCCUUUCCAACUUGGCACGAUCUGAUGCCGAUUUAUGGAACGAGGGGUAUGAAUACACUUUCGGAGAAAUGUUUAGAUUAAACAGAGUGAUCUUCCAAGCUAUAGUCAGAAGGAUCAAAGGCUAAACAUCGAUGAGGUCAAAGACAAGUUGAAACAAGCUGAGCUCCAUGAAGAGGAAAUGGCUGCUCUAGAAAGGCAAUUAACCGCCUUAUUGGCCAACAAUACCAGACUGCGAAAGAUAGUGGCUGGAAAGUCGGGUUCGUAAGUGCUGGGGUACAAUCCCAGACUGAUGAUGGAGUGGUGAAGUUUAUCGCAAACUGUGAGGACAUCGAGCUAUCAGAAGAAAUCGACUCCGAACAUGAUGAAAUAGUUGAAAUUGAUACUUUCAAUUGUGAGAUAGUUUUAUGUUAUGAAUUGCCACAGUUUUGUAGGCAUAAAGUUGUCAUUGAUACUUAAUUGGACCUUAAUUUAAUUUGUAAGUCAUGAUUUCUAAAAUUUGUUA
Molecule: long non-coding RNA, 663 nt
Organism: Mercurialis annua (annual mercury)
Lineage: Eukaryota; Viridiplantae; Streptophyta; Magnoliopsida; Malpighiales; Euphorbiaceae
Exons: 2
Source: RefSeq, a predicted model, not a curated record